ACUACGUGUAGUACGUAGUUUGAUCAGUGGCUACAGGACGACGCUGGCGGCGUGCUUAACACAUGCAAGUCGAACGGGGCGAAGUGAUAGCUUGCUAUUAUGGAGCCUAGUGGCAAACGGGUGAGUAACGCGUAGGCAACCUGCCCUUCAGAUGGGGACAACACCUCGAAAGGGGUGCUAAUACCGAAUGACGUUUCCUGGUCGCAUGACCUGGAAACCAAAGGCCGGGCAACCGGUCACUGAAGGAUGGGCCUGCGUCUGAUUAGCUAGUUGGUGGGGUAACGGCCCACCAAGGCGACGAUCAGUAGCCGGUCUGAGAGGAUGAACGGCCACAUUGGGACUGAGAUACGGCCCAGACUCCUACGGGAGGCAGCAGUGGGGAAUAUUGGGCAAUGGGGGAAACCCUGACCCAGCAACGCCGCGUGAAGGAAGAAGGCCUUCGGGUUGUAAACUUCUUUUACCAGGGACGAAGAACGUGACGGUACCUGGAGAAAAAGCAACGGCUAACUACGUG
Molecule: ribosomal RNA, 514 nt
Filed under: uncultured bacterium
Lineage: Bacteria
Description: bacterial SSU rRNA
Rfam family: Bacterial small subunit ribosomal RNA
Source: RNAcentral